RNAcentral lists this ribosomal RNA (254 nucleotides) under uncultured bacterium. Its description in RNAcentral is "partial 16S ribosomal RNA". It matches the Rfam family "Bacterial small subunit ribosomal RNA", at positions 524 to 776 of the family's 1533-position model. The record is from RNAcentral.
UACGUAGGGGCCUAGCGUUGUCCGGAAUUAUUGGGCGUAAAGAGCUCGUAGGCGGUUCGGCAAGUCGGAUGUGAAAUCUCCACGCUUAACGUGGAGGGGCCAUUCGAAACUGCUGUGACUCGAGUCCGGUAGGGGAGUGUGGAAUUCCCGGUGUAGUGGUGAAAUGCGUAGAGAUCGGGAGGAACACAUGUGGCGAAGGCGGCCCCCUGGGCCGGUAUUGACGCUGAGGCGCGAAAGCCAGGGGAGCAAACGGG